Molecule: unclassified non-coding RNA, 250 nt
Filed under: plant metagenome
Description: partial contains small subunit ribosomal RNA, internal transcribed spacer 1, and 5.8S ribosomal RNA
Source: RNAcentral
GUAGGUGAACCUGCGGAAGGAUCAUUAUCACGUUAUCCACGUAUAAACCAAAUUAUAAAUGUGAACUGUUAUUUACGCCUUUGGAAAUAAUCAAAGCUAUCAGUAGAUUGUGCUCGAUAUUUGGAUUUUGUUCAUUAUUAUAGGUUUUGAACUGCCGAGUAUCAUUUAUGAGUGCUUUCCAUUGUUUGGUACAUUCCAAAGUGUAUUAACCUAUUAACUUAUUAACCAAUUGAACCGUAACAUAGUUAAA